Molecule: ribosomal RNA, 502 nt
Filed under: uncultured bacterium
Lineage: Bacteria
Description: partial 16S ribosomal RNA
Rfam family: Bacterial small subunit ribosomal RNA
Source: RNAcentral
GACGAACGCUGGCGGCGUGCUUAACACAUGCAAGUCGAACGGUGAAGGGGUCUGCUUUUGUGGGCCCUGGAUGAGUGGCGCACGGGUGAGUAACACGUGAGUAACCUGCACCCUUCUUCUGGAUAACCGCAUGAAAGUGUGGCUAAUACGGGAUAUUCUGGGUCUGUCGCAUGAUGUGUCUAGGAAAGAUUGCGCCUUUGGGUGUUUUUGGUGGGGGAUGGGCUCGCGGCCUAUCAGCGUGUUGGUGGAGUGAUGGCCUACCAAGGCGGUGACGGGUAGCCGGCCUGGGAGGGUGGACGGUCACACUGGGACUGAGGCACGGCCCAGACUCGUACGGGAGGGAGCAGUGGGGAAUAUUGCACGAUGGGCGCAAGCCUGAUGCAGCGACGCCGCGUGAGAGAUGGAUGCGUUCGGGUUGUAAACCUCUUUCGCCAGUGAAGCAGGCCUGCUCCUUGUGGGUGGGUUGACGGUAGCUGGAUAAGAAGCGCCGGCUAACUACGUG